AUAUGCCCCUGACUGGAGAGAAGCCCAGGUUGGCUGCCUACAAUCAGAGUCCACAUAUGUUCGGGGGAGGGACCCCAGAAGGCGGCUGACAGUAUUCCUUUAGCCAGAAAUCCCUUCAGGGAAGAGAAAGGUGCUCCCCUUUGCCUGCUUUUAUACUACAGACUGUUUCCAACUCCAGCUAGAAGUGACUAUUGCCGAUUAUGCUAAUCAGUGGCGACAAGCUCCCUUUGACUGCUCACUUCUCCAGUGAGGCUUCAAGCUUCUAGGCAUCAAGAUUAUAUUUUCCAGAAAAUAUUUCAAGCAGAAUAUACUUAUUUUCCAGUUUUGAAAACAACUAGAUUGCCCAUCUCCAUUUCUCUCUAUCAUCUACUGUAUUAUUCUAUGGACAACUGCCACCCUAAUAAGCUCAAAGGAAACCAUGAGAGACUGUCUAACUAGACUUUUUGCUUGAUUUCCUGGACCCAAGAGCAGGAGUGAGGAGCUUUCUCCUGGUAAUUUUGUUAUAGAGCAAUCAAUGAGCUUGCUUCCUCAUGCACAUGGAGGCCAACACCAUGACAAAGGCUUUUGAGAAAAGAAAAGCUUUAUGGAGACCUGACUGGCAAGGAAACAGAAGAAAAUUCUCAUUUCUGUCUCUCUGAGCUGGGGUCUGGACCAGAUUUUAUAUGCAUAGGGUCAAGAAGGGAAGCCAGAAGUCAAGGCCACAGAAGACACAGGAAACAUCAUUUCCAAAGUGGGAGACAAAGCUGUUAACAGGAAAUUAUUUGUAAAGUCAAGAGCCAAGCAAAACAGAAAAAGGACAAGAAAUCUAUCACCUUAUUCAUUAGGUGAAUUGACUACAAAAUGGACUGCACUGAAAACACAUCACAUGAUUUCAUCGAGGAGAUAGGAAACUUGAAUCCUUACUAAUGAGAAGGAAAGAUUAGUUAUAAAUAAAGAACAUAUAGCCAGCUACAUUACAUUCCUAGAUGCCUGAGUUUCUAUCAAUAGUGCAAUUUUUUGAUGAAACACAUAGAAAAUAUCAACAUGGCAAACUCUGAGAUGUUACCUGGCGCCCUUCCACCAAAAAGGAUUUCUACCUCCUUUUCAAGACUGAUUCAUCUCUAGUUCACAAACAAUCUAGCACUGAAAUAUUUCAGGUACCCACUCCUCUGAGGUCAUUGUAAAAGCGAAGAAUGAGACAACACCAUAUAAAAGAAAAUUGUGUCACCUUUUCAGCAAAUAAAAAGUUCAGUCUCAA
RNAcentral lists this long non-coding RNA (1237 nucleotides) under Homo sapiens (human). RNAcentral describes it as "MIR4307 host gene". The record is from RNAcentral. Lineage: Eukaryota; Metazoa; Chordata; Mammalia; Primates; Hominidae.